RNAcentral lists this transfer RNA (72 nucleotides) under Ovis aries (sheep). It matches the Rfam family "tRNA". From Rfam's summary of the family: Transfer RNA (tRNA) molecules are approximately 80 nucleotides in length. Their secondary structure includes four short double-helical elements and three loops (D, anti-codon, and T loops). Lineage: Eukaryota; Metazoa; Chordata; Mammalia; Artiodactyla; Bovidae. The record is from Rfam by way of RNAcentral.
UCCCAGGUGGCUCAGUGGGUAAAGAACCUGCCUGCAAUGCAGGAGAUACAGGUUCAAUUCCUGGGUUGGAUA